AAGAGAAUGGAGAAACCUAAAGGGAGCUGCUAACUACCCUUUAAAGCGGUUAAAUUCCGUUUUUCUCUUA
Molecule: transfer RNA, 70 nt
Filed under: Microdeuterus sp. HEM078
Lineage: Eukaryota; Metazoa; Arthropoda; Insecta; Hemiptera; Acanthosomatidae
Description: tRNA-Ser
Source: RNAcentral